GUGGGGAAUCUUGCGCAAUGGGCGAAAGCCUGACGCAGCCAUGCCGCGUGAAUGAUGAAGGUCUUAGGAUUGUAAAAUUCUUUCACCGGGGACGAUAAUGACGGUACCCGGAGAAGAAGCUCCGGCUAACUUCGUGCCAGCAGCCGCGGUAAUACGAAGGGGGCUAGCGUUGCUCGGAAUUACUGGGCGUAAAGGGCGCGUAGGCGGACAGCUUAGUCAGAGGUGAAAGCCCAGGGCUCAACCUUGGAAUUGCCUUUGAUACUGGCUGUCUUGAGUUUGGGAGAGGUGAGUGGAACUCCGAGUGUAGAGGUGAAAUUCGUAGAUAUUCGGAAGAACACCAGUGGCGAAGGCGACUCACUGGCCCAAUACUGACGCUGAGGCGCGAAAGUGUGGGGAGCAAACAGGAUUAGAAACCCUGGUAGUCC
This 425-nucleotide ribosomal RNA is filed under the name uncultured bacterium. RNAcentral's name for it is "partial 16S ribosomal RNA". It matches the Rfam family "Bacterial small subunit ribosomal RNA", at positions 354 to 796 of the family's 1533-position model. The record is from RNAcentral.